This 339-nucleotide unclassified non-coding RNA is filed under the name soil metagenome. RNAcentral describes it as "partial contains 5.8S ribosomal RNA, internal transcribed spacer 2, and large subunit ribosomal RNA". The stretch from base 1 to 120 matches the Rfam family "5.8S ribosomal RNA", at positions 35 to 154 of the family's 154-position model. The record is from RNAcentral.
GAUGAAGAACGUAGCGAAAUGCGAUACGUAGUGUGAAUUGCAGAAUUCAGUGAAUCAUCGAAUCUUUGAACGCACAUUGCACCUCUCGGUAUUCCGGGAGGUAUGCCUGUUCGAGCGUCAUUUGUACCCUCAAGCUCUGCUUGGUGUUGGGUGUUUGUUCCGCCUCUGUGUGUGAACUCGCCUCAAAACAAUUGGCAGCCGGCGUACUUGUUUCGGAGCGCAGCACAUUUUGCGAUCCAGAUCAACGUACAGCGGAAUCCAAGAAGCCUUAUUUAACGCUCUUGACCUCGGAUCAGGUAGGGAUACCCGCUGAACUUAAGCAUAUCAAUAAGCGGAGGA